CAAUCGGCCCUUUUCAGGGCCAACAAAUAUUUUAUACGUUGGAAU
Non-coding RNA from Trichomalopsis sarcophagae, 45 nucleotides. The record is from Rfam. NCBI's taxonomy places the organism in Eukaryota, Metazoa, Arthropoda, Insecta, Hymenoptera, Pteromalidae.